UGCAGUGCUAUAUUCAGAAUAGUGCUGGUGAGAUGAAGAAUAAUUUCAUCAGAGCCUUUCUGAGUAGAAUAAGGCUUA
This 78-nucleotide microRNA precursor is filed under the name Neotoma lepida (desert woodrat). The record is from RNAcentral. Lineage: Eukaryota; Metazoa; Chordata; Mammalia; Rodentia; Cricetidae.